AGAGACAGCAGCAGCCGCGGUAAAACGGAGGGUGCAAGCGUUAAUCGGAAUUACUGGGCGUAAAGCGCACGCAGGCGGUCUGACAAGUCAGAUGUGAAAUCCCCGGGCUUAACCUGGGAACUGCAUUUGAAACUGUCAGGCUGGAGUCUUGUAGAGGGGGGUGGAAUUCCAGGUGUAGCGGUGAAAUGCGUAGAGAUCUGGAGGAAUACCGGUGGCGAAGGCGGCCCCCUGGACAAAGACUGACGCUCAGGUGCGAAAGCGUGGGGAGCAAACAGGAUUAGAUACCCGCGUAGUCCCUGUCUCUUAUAC
RNAcentral lists this ribosomal RNA (309 nucleotides) under uncultured bacterium. Its description in RNAcentral is "partial 16S ribosomal RNA". It matches the Rfam family "Bacterial small subunit ribosomal RNA", at positions 504 to 807 of the family's 1533-position model. The record is from RNAcentral.